Molecule: ribosomal RNA, 750 nt
Filed under: Bacillus sp. (in: firmicutes)
Lineage: Bacteria; Bacillati; Bacillota; Bacilli; Caryophanales; Bacillaceae
Description: bacterial SSU rRNA
Rfam family: Bacterial small subunit ribosomal RNA
Source: RNAcentral
CAGUCGAGCGAACUGAUUAGAAGCUUGCUUCUAUGACGUUAGCGGCGGACGGGUGAGUAACACGUGGGCAACCUGCCUGUAAGACUGGGAUAACUUCGGGAAACCGAAGCUAAUACCGGAUAGGAUCUUCUCCUUCAUGGGAGAUGAUUGAAAGAUGGUUUCGGCUAUCACUUACAGAUGGGCCCGCGGUGCAUUAGCUAGUUGGUGAGGUAACGGCUCACCAAGGCAACGAUGCAUAGCCGACCUGAGAGGGUGAUCGGCCACACUGGGACUGAGACACGGCCCAGACUCCUACGGGAGGCAGCAGUAGGGAAUCUUCCGCAAUGGACGAAAGUCUGACGGAGCAACGCCGCGUGAGUGAUGAAGGCUUUCGGGUCGUAAAACUCUGUUGUUAGGGAAGAACAAGUACGAGAGUAACUGCUCGUACCUUGACGGUACCUAACCAGAAAGCCACGGCUAACUACGUGCCAGCAGCCGCGGUAAUACGUAGGUGGCAAGCGUUAUCCGGAAUUAUUGGGCGUAAAGCGCGCGCAGGCGGUUUCUUAAGUCUGAUGUGAAAGCCCACGGCUCAACCGUGGAGGGUCAUUGGAAACUGGGGAACUUGAGUGCAGAAGAGAAAAGCGGAAUUCCACGUGUAGCGGUGAAAUGCGUAGAGAUGUGGAGGAACACCAGUGGCGAAAGCGGCUUUUUGGUCUGUAACUGACGCUGACGCGCGAAAGCGUGGGGAGCAAACACGAUUAGAUACCCUGG